Rhinolophus ferrumequinum (greater horseshoe bat) is the source of this 2418-nucleotide long non-coding RNA. RefSeq lists it as uncharacterized. The record is from RefSeq and is a predicted model, not a curated record. Lineage: Eukaryota; Metazoa; Chordata; Mammalia; Chiroptera; Rhinolophidae. The transcript is spliced from 3 exons.
CAUACUUACAAGGCCAAGCACAGGGUACGCCUCAUAAUAAGCUGUCCUAGAAUCACAUACACAGAGGCUGUUCAAGCCAGAAGAGGUGCAAACGAGAAUGUAAACAAGCAAAGCAGACAGGUAUAGGACAAUAGGUGUUCUGGCUCCGGCUGAACUGGAGAACACAUGUCCUUUUAAAUGAAGGCAUUUAAAAAUCAGUUAAAAACAAAACCUUUGCCAGCCAAAAAAAAAAAAAAAAAAAAAAAAAAAAAAAAAAAAAAAAAAAACACCAAAAUCAAACCCACAGAUGAAGAACCCAGCUCAGAGAGGAGAAGAGCUUGCCAGUCUGUGACAGUCCCAUUAUUGGAUUCUAGAUCUUCUGACUGCAAGCAAUACACCAAGACUUUCGGGGAGAGAGGAGGGACUGUUCCAACACAGAUCUUCUGCUUAUGGUCGGAAACUCAUCCCUUUCAUCACCAUCUCUGACCUGAUGCAGAUUCAGAGAAAAAAGUGCAAUGUGCAAGGAGCCAACACGAGGACGUAAUACCCAACAGGUACUCUGCCAGGUGCUGCUGUCACAGUGGUGAGCAAAGCCGACCCGGCCUGGGCUCUCAGGGAGCAGGGCAGCCUAUGUUGGAGGUAUGGACAGCGGGAGUUACCAACCACUUCCGAGAUGGAUGAUUAACGAGAGGAGGGGCUGUGGGGGCCUCAGUUUGCAGUCACUUAUUUUUAAAGUUUAAAGACAGCUCAUACCCAGAAAAUUCACAGUGUGGGAUGAACAAUUUCCUACAUGCAUUGAGGACCUCGGCUGGCUUUGGAAAAGCUCCUUCUGCUGCUUCCCUGGAACCUGGACAUUUUUACUCACCAGUCUAGUCUAGACUUCUCAGGCUGGGCUGUUGCUCCUCACACAUGGAACAUGGCCUCUAAGGGCAGCACCUUGAAGCGGGUGUACAGGUGCCAGGCCCCAACCUUCACCCCCAAUCCCUAGUCACCCCAACUUGUGCUCUGCUUCUAGGGCAGCCACAGAGCCUGUGGUUCAGCAGUUCCAGCUGUGCUUGCUUCUGCAUGAACAGCUCAAGGAGUGCAUCUCUAGUAGACAUUUGAGGCUUUGGGGCCUUCCAGCCCCGACUUCCUCUUCCUUCUGUUAAUGACUCCCUCAUUUCCAUUUGGAGAAUCACCUCUUCCCCUCGAUGUGCAGGCCUGAUGAAAUUGUCAGUCAAGGAUUCUCGUCCUCCCCUAGUCAAGGGGCUCAUUGACCAAACCCUCUCCUGGAAUUUGGAACCUUGACUGGAGUGAUACAAAGGCAGAAAAAUGACCAUCCCUUAUUCACCCAAGCAGACAGCCUCUGCCCUGGGGACCCUCAGACCUUCUCUGGUCCCUGCCCUUUGGAGCCUGAUUAUUCAUUUUUCCAGUUCUAUGGGCUACCCAGUAGCCCUCUGAAGAUCUGCAUUUGCUAGUACUUGCGAGUCACACAAUGUGACAAAAACAAAUGGCUACUGAUGGUGAGUCAGAAAUGUCACCUUGCGUGUCUUCUAGCAAGGAAAUAAUAAUCAUAGCACAAAAGUGUGAUCCAUGACUACUCGAGAAGCACCCCCAAUAAGACAGUUCCUUCAGUCUUUUAACAGCUCUGUGGGGAAGGCAAGCAGUGAUCAUAGCACAUUUUAGAAAUGAGGAUGCUUAGGUUCAGAGACAUACCCAGCGAUUACACGGCCUCGAAGCAGCAGAGCCAUUACUCAAACAUCAGCCUGCCUUCUGACUCCAGCCUACGAUGUUCUCCACCAGACCACACCACCUUUCCCAGGCCUCCUGAGCUGACCUGGAGUUGCUUCUCCAGGACGGGGUUUAUCCAAUCUUUAGCCUCUUCUGCCUACUGGGCCCAUGUCCUGACUCACCAGUAACUGAAAUUGGGAAUCUCACCUCUGAAAUACAUUUCACAAAGUCUGGCUUGCUACAGCAUUCAAGCAGAGGACACAUAAAGACACACCUUCAAAGUCACUUUUAAAAUGUCAUCGGGACUCUCUGUGCCUAUUCCUAUUGACUAUUCACAAUAGCCCAAUGUCCAUUAAUGAACAAAUGGAUAAAAAAAUUUGGUAUAUCCAUACACCGGAAUAUUAUUCAGCCAUUAGAAUGAAUGAAGUACUGAUGCAUACUACAAUGUGGAUGAAUCUUGAAAACAUGCUAAGUGAAAGAAGUCAGACAAAAAAGGUCACAUAUUGUAGGAUUCUAUUUAUGCGCAAUAUCCAGAAAAGAUAAAUCCAUAGAAUCAGAAGACAGAUUGGUGGUUACCAGUGGCUGGAGGAAGGGAGAUGGAGAGAAACUGCUUACGGGGUACAGGGUUUUACUUGGGAGUAAUGGAAACGUUUUGGUAACCAGAUAGAGGUGGUGUUUGCACAACAUUAUAAAUGUAUGAAAUGCCAUUGGAUCAUCCACUUAAAAAUG